CGAGGCUUCAGUGAGCCAAGAUUGCACCACUGCAUUCCAGCCUGGGCAACAGAGGGAGACUCCAUCUCAAAAAAAAAAAAAAAAAAAAGAAACAAAAGUCAAAGUGGCCAAGGAAGGAAAUAGAAACACAGAAAGACAAACUUGUAAAAACACAAUUCCCAGUUAAAAACAAAACCCAAAUGAAAGUGCCAACAAACAGAAAUGAUGUCGCCAAAAGUCACAUUGGUAAAACCUGGAAGAUCAAAUCGAGGAAGGACCACAGAUCUUAGAGAGGAGAAGAGGGGAAUCGCUCAGCGGCCUGGAGCCUUGAGCCUGGAGACAACACAUUCAUCUGUUAGGAUUUCGGAAGAGAAAGGUGGAGAGUCUGUGAGAGAAAAAAGAAAACACUGAAGAACUUUGAGAAGACUGAAGACUUCAGGUCGAAACUCUGCACCAAGGGCCGGAAAGGACGAUUGGAAAAAGAAAUACAUCCAAAUUGGAGAAAAUGUGAGCAAGCCAGGGAGACAGACCCCACGGUGGACAACGAGCAGCGGGGACAGACGCCACGGAGAACAGUAAGCCGGGGGUACAGACUCCACAGAGGACAGUGAGCCAGGGGGACAGAGGACAGCAAGCCGGGGAGACAGACCCCACGGAGGACAGCGAGCAGCGGGGACAGACCCCACGGAGGACAGCAAACCGGGGGACAGACCCCACGAAGGACAGCGAGCCGGGGGGACAGAACACACGGAGGACAGCAACCAGCGGGGACAGACCCCACGGAGGACAGCAAGCCGGGGGUACAGACCCCACGGAGGACAGCGAGCAGCGGGGACAGACCCCACGGAGGACAGCGAGCCGGGGGACAGACCCUACGGAGGACAGCGAGCAGCAGGCACAGAUCCCAUGGAGAACAGCGAGCCAGGGGGACAGACCCCAAGGAGGACAGCGAGCCAGGGGGCACAGACCCCACCGAGGACAGUGAGCCGGGGGGCACAGAUCCCACGGAGGACAGUGAGCCGGGGGGACAGACCCCACGGAGGACAGCGAGCCAGGGGAACACACCCAAG
This 1049-nucleotide long non-coding RNA is filed under the name Pan troglodytes (chimpanzee). Its description in RNAcentral is "long non-coding RNA NONPTRT000405". Lineage: Eukaryota; Metazoa; Chordata; Mammalia; Primates; Hominidae. The record is from RNAcentral.